This 253-nucleotide ribosomal RNA is filed under the name uncultured bacterium. Its description in RNAcentral is "partial 16S ribosomal RNA". It matches the Rfam family "Bacterial small subunit ribosomal RNA", at positions 524 to 776 of the family's 1533-position model. The record is from RNAcentral.
UACGUAGGGUGCGAGCGUUAAUCGGAAUUACUGGGCGUAAAGUGUGCGCAGGUGGCCGCGCAAGUCGAGUGUGAAAUCCCCGAGCUUAACUUGGGAAUUGCGCUCGAAACUACGUGGCUCGAGUGUGGCAGAGGAAGGUGGAAUUCCACGUGUAGCGGUGAAAUGCGUAGAUAUUCGGAAGAACACCAGUGGCGAAGGCGGCUCACUGGCCCGUUACCGACGCUCAGGCGCGACAGCGUGGGGAGCAAACAGG